UCGCUGAAUGCCACAGUCCUCCUGCGACGGGACACCGCCUCCGCACUGCUGUUUAAACAUGAAGUGUGGAUGUUAGAAGAUCCCAAAUAUGUGUCUUUUGUCCCGUCUUCCUCUCCUCAUCCUCAACAGGUCGCAGUGGGCCGCCCUUCCCUGACCGUGGUUCUGCCAGAGGGUGCUUCCUGUUAAAAGAAAUAGUCAGGACCCAGAUGAACCUGAGCUGGAAUUCAGUGUGGCAUGCACAGACCUGGUGACUCCUUCUCUGGAACGAAAACCCAACGCCUUUGUAGCAGUGAGCUGCACGACACCGCCGCAGACCUUCUGGACCAAACAUGCCCAGACUGAAGUUAUAGAAGGCUAGGGCCUAUUAUAUGCCGCAGCCUAAAUGCAGCUGGGUUGCAGAGGAUGGAGUGAUCACUGGCUAUCUACUUACAGGGUGGUGGGUCUCAGGGGACAGCUGCUACCCCUGUUGAAGUGAACAACGUGUGGAGUGCAACUGGCUUUGUGGCAUAGCUGGCUCUGGCCUUGGACUGUGUGUUUUUACUUUGUACCUAAAUGGGACACUGGACAUUUUUAACUAUUAUUCAUUGUGUUUAUAAAUUAAAUUUUAGAAUUUUAUUGACUGUCAUCUUUUUGCCCACGGCGGAGACGGUUGGUCAGACCUAGAAUCUCUUUGUGUGUGUGUGUAACGUCAGCACUUUUUGAAGGGUUUUGCAUAAAAGAGUGUGAGCAGGUCAAAAGGUCAAUACAUUUAUUGUAGUUUUAUGGCAGCACCCUCUAGUGGCCUUGAAGCAAACGGUCUCCCAAGUAAGCCAUGACAUCUCCGGUCUCUCCUACUUUUGUGUGCUCUGCUGGAAGAGCAGCAUUGGAUCUAGUGAUACAGACUGAGUAAGCUGAUUAGGACAGGCCUGGAGAAAUGUGGUUUGCAUGAACUAUCAGAGGAAAAAACAACCUUGUACAGCUCAUACUUAUUAACAAAAAUUAUAAUACACUAAUAAUAAAUACUUUUGAUGACAUUCAGAUUUCUGGACUCACAAGUUCAUAGAACAUUAUGAAACUCUGAGAUAAGUCAUUUUUUGUUCCUUCAACUAGAGCAGGGCGAUAUGACCAAAAA
Pelmatolapia mariae (spotted tilapia) is the source of this 1111-nucleotide long non-coding RNA. RefSeq lists it as uncharacterized. The transcript has 5 exons. The record is from RefSeq and is a predicted model, not a curated record. Lineage: Eukaryota; Metazoa; Chordata; Actinopteri; Cichliformes; Cichlidae.